CCUACGGGAGGCAGCAGUGAGGAAUAUUGGUCAAUGGACGAGAGUCUGAACCAGCCAAGUAGCGUGAAGGAUGACUGCCCUAUGGGUUGUAAACUUCUUUUAUAUAGGAAUAAAAUGUUCCACGUGUGAGUUUUUGUCUGUACACUAUGAAUAAGGAUCGGCUAACUCCGUGCCAGCAGCCGCGGUAAUACGGAGGAUCCGAGCGUUAUCCGGAUUUAUUGGGUUUAAAGGGAGCGUAGAUGGGUUGUUAAGUCAGUUGUGAAAGUGUGCGGCUCAACCGUAAAAUUGCAGUUGAAACUGGCAGUCUUGAGUACAGUAGAGGUGGGCGGAAUUCGUGGUGUAGCGGUGAAAUGCUUAGAUAUCACGAAGAACUCCGAUUGCGAAGGCAGCUCACUGGACUGCAACUGACAUUGAUGCUCGAAAGUGUGGGUAUCAAACAGGAUUAGAUACCCGGGUAGUC
RNAcentral lists this ribosomal RNA (460 nucleotides) under uncultured bacterium. RNAcentral describes it as "partial 16S ribosomal RNA". It matches the Rfam family "Bacterial small subunit ribosomal RNA", at positions 338 to 795 of the family's 1533-position model. The record is from RNAcentral.